RNAcentral lists this vault RNA (102 nucleotides) under Xenopus laevis (African clawed frog). It matches the Rfam family "Vault RNA". From Rfam's summary of the family: This family of RNAs are found as part of the enigmatic vault ribonucleoprotein complex. The complex consists of a major vault protein (MVP), two minor vault proteins (VPARP and TEP1), and several small untranslated RNA molecules. The record is from Rfam by way of RNAcentral. Lineage: Eukaryota; Metazoa; Chordata; Amphibia; Anura; Pipidae.
GGGCUGGCCCUAUAGCUCAACGGUUCCUUAAUAGGAUCUCUGUUUAAUACCAGAACAAUCCUCUCGGGGGUUCCAAUGCCGCGGGCGCUAUCCAGCCCUUUC